This is a long non-coding RNA of Salvia miltiorrhiza (redroot sage), 1086 nucleotides long. RefSeq lists it as uncharacterized. The record is from RefSeq and is a predicted model, not a curated record. The transcript is spliced from 2 exons. NCBI's taxonomy places the organism in Eukaryota, Viridiplantae, Streptophyta, Magnoliopsida, Lamiales, Lamiaceae.
CUGCUCUGACCGGGCUGCUCUGACGGGAAUUUCUCUGAUCUGAUAUGCUUUUCUCUGUUCUGAUCGGGCUGGGGUACUUCUCUGCUCUGACCGGGCUGGGGCAUUUCUCUGCUCUGACCGGGCUAGGCAUUUUUCUGCUCUGAUCGGGCUGGGGUAUUUCUCUGUUCUACUCUACGGGCUACACUAUUUUGCGCCUCUGCUCUAUGGGUUGUUUUGAUCUAUUCUAAUCACUGCUCAGCGAAAAGUAAGCCGCCUCUUGGGCGUGCCAAUGUUAUCUAUUGGUCUUCUCACGCGUUGGAUUUCUUACGCGCUCAACAACAGGGUAUAUUGUUCAGACUCGACAAAUAUUUAUGACGGGUUUUCUCACAUGAUCAGAGUAUCAUAUUUCUCAACUUCGACAUGGGUCUUCCUAUGUUAUUCGGGUAUUCUUGCAGCGGUCUUCUGGUUCAUCCAACACAAAGCAUUUAUAUUGCUUAUCUAUGCAAAGUAUUCAAUAUGGGGUAUUCUCAGCGCUGGUCUUCUUAUGCGCCCAAAAAAAUGGAAAUUAUCCAUCUUUGUCAACAUUCAACAAAAAAGAAGGAAAUCUAACUUGGAACUACAAUUCCAAAGUCAAGGGGAAAAUGCUUAUCUUUGCUUUCUUAAAUUAUUAAAACUCUUAUGUCUUCAGGAUUUGCAGGGAUUAAGGAAAACAGCACAGCGCUGGCUUUAACAAUACUUCGCUGGCUGAACACGAAGAAUACUCGGUUCAACCAGACCAGGGGGGGAGUAGCUGAUGAGGACUGAAAUAUGCACCAGCGCUGUGCUAAACAUAACGGGAAUAUUUCUAGUUAUGACUAUUAUUAUUAUUGUUAUUGUGGUUAUUUCUGAUAUUUGAUACAUGAUUGCCCUGACUUUCGGCUUGGCUCAGCUCGGCUCCGCUUUCCAGCUCUGAUGGCUCAAUUUCAAGAUGUAGAUUAGAAUAACGGGGCUUGGGCUUAAUUCAUUGGGCUAAUGGGCUUUAAGGGUCUAAUGGGCCUAAGGGCCUUAGGUUUAUGUUCAUGCUUAUAAAUAGGGCCUUGGGGGCAUAGAUUAGAGGAUCAUCUCAUU